RNAcentral lists this ribosomal RNA (253 nucleotides) under uncultured prokaryote. Its description in RNAcentral is "partial 16S ribosomal RNA". It matches the Rfam family "Bacterial small subunit ribosomal RNA", at positions 525 to 777 of the family's 1533-position model. The record is from RNAcentral.
ACGAAGGGGGCUAGCGUUGUUCGGAAUUACUGGGCGUAAAGGGCGCGUAGGCGGUCAAGUAAGUGGAAUGUGAAAGCCCCCGGCUUACCCGGGGAUCUGCAUCCCAAACUGCUUGGCUUGAGUACGGGAGAGGAUGAGGGAAUUCCUGGUGUAGCGGUGAAAUGCGUAGAUAUCAGGAGGAACACCGGUGGCGAAAGCGCUCAACUGGCCCAAUACUGACGCUAAAGCGCGAAAGCUAGGGGAGCAAACGGGA